Molecule: long non-coding RNA, 103 nt
Organism: Eurytemora carolleeae
Lineage: Eukaryota; Metazoa; Arthropoda; Copepoda; Calanoida; Temoridae
Exons: 2
Source: RefSeq, a predicted model, not a curated record
AGCAUUAAUCUCAACUAAAUGGAGUACUUCCAAUAUACUCGCUUCAAAGUUUGAAUUUCAGGACUUGUUAAUGAACGGGUUGAGGAUUACAAUGGAUACAACG